RNAcentral lists this ribosomal RNA (646 nucleotides) under uncultured marine archaeon. Its description in RNAcentral is "bacterial SSU rRNA". It matches the Rfam family "Archaeal small subunit ribosomal RNA", at positions 28 to 681 of the family's 1478-position model. The record is from RNAcentral.
UGCUAUCGGAUUGAUACUAAGCCAUGCGAGUCAUUGUAGCAAUACAAGGCAUACGGCUCAGUAACGCGUAGUCACCUAACCUAUGGACGGGAAUAACCUCGGGAAACUGAGAAUAAUGCCCGAUAGAACAUUAUGCCUGGAAUGGUUUAUGUUCCAAAUGAUUUAUCGCCGUAGGAUGGGACUGCGGCCUAUCAGUUUGUUGGUGAGGUAAUGGCCCACCAAGACUAUUACAGGUACGGGCUCUGAGAGGAGUAGCCCGGAGAUGGGUACUGAGACACGGACCCAGGCCCUAUGGGGCGCAGCAGGCGAGAAAACUUUGCAAUGUGCGAAAGCACGACAAGGUUAAUCCGAGUGGUUUCUGCUAAAGGAACCUUUUGUCAGUCCUAGAAACACUGAUGAAUAAGGGGUGGGCAAGUUCUGGUGUCAGCCGCCGCGGUAAAACCAGCACCUCAAGUGGUCAGGAUGAUUAUUGGGCCUAAAGCAUCCGUAGCCGGCUCUGUAAGUUUUCGGUUAAAUCUGUACGCUCAACGUACAGGCUGCCGGGAAUACUGCAAAGCUAGGGAGUGGGAGAGGUAGACGGUACUCGGUAGGAAGGGGUAAAAUCCUUUGAUCUAUUGAUGACCACCUGUGGCGAAGGCGGUCUACC